Molecule: ribosomal RNA, 459 nt
Filed under: uncultured bacterium
Lineage: Bacteria
Description: partial 16S ribosomal RNA
Rfam family: Bacterial small subunit ribosomal RNA
Source: RNAcentral
CUACGGGGGGCUGCAGUAAGGAAUAUUGCGCAAUGGAGGCAACUCUGACGCAGCCAUGCCGCGUGCAGGAAGAAGGCCUUAUGGGUCGUAAACUGCUUUUAUUUAGGAAUAAACCCUCGCUCGUGAGCGAGGCUGAAGGUACUGAAUGAAUAAGCACCGGCUAACUCCGUGCCAGCAGCCGCGGUAAUACGGAGGGUGCAAGCGUUAUCCGGAUUUAUUGGGUUUAAAGGGUGCGCAGGCGGGCUAUUAAGUCAGUGGUGAAAUCCCGGGGCUCAACUCCGGAACUGCCAUUGAUACUGAUAGUCUUGAGUUUGGUUGAAGUGGGCGGAAUGUAGCAUGUAGCGGUGAAAUGCAUAGAUAUGCUACAGAACACCAAUCGCGAAGGCAGCUCACUAAGCCAAAACUGACGCUCAGGCACGAAAGCGUGGGGAUCAAACAGGAUUAGAUACCCCCGUAGUC